Molecule: long non-coding RNA, 1433 nt
Filed under: Homo sapiens (human)
Lineage: Eukaryota; Metazoa; Chordata; Mammalia; Primates; Hominidae
Description: non-protein coding lnc-DGCR6-6:8
Source: RNAcentral
AGACCCGCUGCCGGGCCGGGGCUGGGCCGGAGCGGCGGCGCCUGGAUGCCGGCCCGGGGCUGGGCCGGAGACUGGCGCCCGCCCCGAAGCGACUUUCGGUCCCCGACCCGCUCCGCCUGACCCCUAUGAUGAAGAGGGCGUCCACUGGAGUUCUUGCUGUCGACAUCUUUGACAAGUUCAACUUCACGGGAGCCAGAGUCCCAUGGUUCGACGCCAUUCAUGAAGAAUUCCCCAGGGAGCUGGAGUCCUCCAUCUCCUUCCCAGCCAACUUCUUCAAACCACCUGAAGAAAAAGUGCUUAGGUAGAGGUUGAGCAUCCUAAUCCUGAAAUCUGAAAUGCUCCAGAAUCUGAACCUUCUUGAGCACCAACCUGACACUUAAAGGAAGUGCUCAUUGGAGGAAGGCCCCCUGGUAAGGCCAGCCAGCCGGAGGACCACCCCGCAGACCACACGCCCAGGGCCUGGCACCGAGGGGGAGGCCCCGAUCAGCAGGUGAAAGCGACACCCUGAUGACACUGGCUAGUUCACCUUCACUCUGGUCAUCGUUUACUGUACCCCGGGGCAGCUCCCGCCUGAGCCCUAUGACCCCAACCGCCGCAGCCUCUGGCUGCCUCACUGGCCCAUCAUUAAUACGUCGAUGGUGAGCGCACUGGUGUACAGCGAGGGGGCUCCACUUCCGAGACCCCUGGAGAGGCCCGUCCUGGUGGAGUUCACCCUGCUGGAGAUGGAGAAGCGAACCAAGCCUGUCUGUGUGUUCUGGAACCAUUCCCUGGCGUAAAUGUGAUGCCGGGAGUUCUGCAUCUUCAUGCCCAUUCUGAAAGAAAAAGGAAGUUCUCGUCGCAGAAAGAAAAUAAUACCAAAGGGAAACAAAAUUUCAAGAAGGAAUAAAGAACAGUGGAAGAGUAAAUAUGAAGACCAAGAGCAGUGAUGACCUUUUAGCUGGAAUGGCCAGAGGGGUAACGGUGACUAAUGGUGUUAAAGGGAAGGAAAGCUCCUGCCCAUCUGCAGCACCUUCGGCAUCUGCCCCUGCCAUGACCACUGUGGAGAACAAAUCCAAGAUUAGCACAGGGCACCAACUGGACAGAGGCCUCCGGUCAGCCUCACUCUGACUGCAACCCCCUCUCACUGGACAGCAUCACCUGGACACAGAGCCUCACCUAGUCUGUGUCCCAUGGACACAACUUUGCUUUGGACAGUGACACCAAGAAUACUCACCCCUUUACUUAGCCAGACCACAGGCAGCCACCUGGACACAAACAUCUCUCCAGAGUCAGCCUCCACACAGACUCCACAGCAGAACUCCCAGGGAGGCACUGGGGCAUGGCUUCAGAGCACCAGGCAGCGCUCCGCGGUGCCUAGCACCCGCUCAGCCAGGGCAGCCUGCAGCGGAGCUUGGAGCCAGCAGCUUCUCAUCUCUUGGCCUCGGGAAAUGUAG